AGAGUUUGAUCAUGGCUCAGAUUGAACGCUGGCGGCAGGCUUAACACAUGCAAGUCGAGCGGAGCGAGGGUGCUUGCACCUUAGCUUAGCGGCGGACGGGUGAGUAAUGCUUAGGAAUCUGCCUAUUAGUGGGGGACAACAUUCCGAAAGGGAUGCUAAUACCGCAUACGCCCUACGGGGGAAAGCAGGGGAUCUUCGGACCUUGCACUAAUAGAUGAGCCUAAGUCGGAUUAGCUAGUUGGUGGGGUGAAGGCCUACCAAGGCGACGAUCUGUAGCGGGUCUGAGAGGAUGAUCCGCCACACUGGGACUGAGACACGGCCCAGACUCCUACGGGAGGCAGCAGUGGGGAAUAUUGGACAAUGGGGGGAACCCUGAUCCAGCCAUGCCGCGUGUGUGAAGAAGGCCUUUUGGUUGUAAAGCACUUCAAGCGAGGAGGAGGCGCUCUAGGAUAAUACCCUAGAUGCGUGGACGUUACUCGCAGAAUAAGCACCGGCUAACUCUGUGCCAGCAGCCGCGGUAAUACAGAGGGUGCGAGCGUUAAUCGGAUUUACUGGGCGUAAAGCGCGCGUAGGUGGCUAAUUAAGUCAAAUGUGAAAUCCCCGAGCUUAACUUGGGAAUUGCAUUCGAUACUGGUUAGCUAGAGUAUGGGAGAGGAUGGUAGAAUUCCAGGUGUAGCGGUGAAAUGCGUAGAGAUCUGGAG
RNAcentral lists this ribosomal RNA (701 nucleotides) under Acinetobacter sp. Hg1. RNAcentral describes it as "bacterial SSU rRNA". It matches the Rfam family "Bacterial small subunit ribosomal RNA", at positions 8 to 703 of the family's 1533-position model. Lineage: Bacteria; Pseudomonadati; Pseudomonadota; Gammaproteobacteria; Moraxellales; Moraxellaceae. The record is from RNAcentral.